RNAcentral lists this small nuclear RNA (140 nucleotides) under Ursus americanus (American black bear). Its description in RNAcentral is "U2 spliceosomal RNA". It matches the Rfam family "U2 spliceosomal RNA". Rfam says of the family: U2 is a small nuclear RNA (snRNA) component of the spliceosome (involved in pre-mRNA splicing). Complementary binding between U2 snRNA (in an area lying towards the 5' end but 3' to hairpin I) and the branchpoint sequence (BPS) of the intron results the bulging out of an unpaired adenosine, on the BPS, which initiates a nucleophilic attack at the intronic 5' splice site, thus starting the first of two transesterification reactions that mediate splicing. Lineage: Eukaryota; Metazoa; Chordata; Mammalia; Carnivora; Ursidae. RNAcentral also lists the same sequence under 2 other names. The record is from Rfam by way of RNAcentral.
AUCGCUUCUCGGCCUUUUGGCUAAGAUCAAGUGUAGAAACAAAUUAGAGUAAACAUUUGAGAUUUUGUAAUUCAAAUACCAUUUCCCUUUCACCUUGUGAAUGAACCUAUAUUUUCCUUAGGGAAUUAUAUAUUCCCAAU